AAGUCGUAACAAGGUUUCCGUAGGUGAACCUGCGGAAGGAUCAUUACAGAGUUCCUGCCCUCACGGGUAGAAACCCCACCCUUGUGUAUACUAUAUUGUUGCUUUGGCAGGCCGCCUCACGGCGUCGGCUUACGCUGGCUCGUGCCUGCCAGAGGACCCUAAACUUUGAAAUACAGUGUCGUCUGAGUACUAUUUAAUAGUUAAAACUUUCAACAACGGAUCUCUUGGUUCUG
RNAcentral lists this unclassified non-coding RNA (233 nucleotides) under Hymenoscyphus scutula. Its description in RNAcentral is "partial internal transcribed spacer region". The stretch from base 1 to 46 matches the Rfam family "Eukaryotic small subunit ribosomal RNA", at positions 1786 to 1831 of the family's 1831-position model. Lineage: Eukaryota; Fungi; Ascomycota; Leotiomycetes; Helotiales; Helotiaceae. The record is from RNAcentral.